Molecule: ribosomal RNA, 479 nt
Filed under: uncultured bacterium
Lineage: Bacteria
Description: SSU rRNA
Rfam family: Bacterial small subunit ribosomal RNA
Source: RNAcentral
AGAAUGAACGUUGGCGGCGUGGAUUAGGCAUGCAAGUCGUUCGCCCCGCAAGGGGCGAGGCGCAAGGGUGAGUAAGGCGACGGCAACCAACCUCCCAAUCGGGCAUAGCCGCGGGAAACCGCGGGUAAUUCCCGGCGACGUCGGCGGGGGACAUCCCCCGGCGACCAAAGGUGCGAUUCCGUUGGGAGACGGGCCGUCGUGGUAUCAGCUUGUUGGCGGGGUGACGGCCCACCAAGGCUAUGACGCCUACCGGGCGUGCGAGCGUGGCCCGGCACACUGGGACUGAGACACUGCCCAGACUCCUACGGGAGGCUGCAGUCGAGAAUCUUCGGCAAUGGGCGCAAGCCUGACCGAGCGACGCCGCGUGGAGGACGAAGGCCUUCGGGUUGUAACUCCUGUCGAGGGGAGGAGGCGGCGCGAAGAGCGUCGCUUGACCGAUCCCUGGAGGAAGCACGGGCUAAGUUCGUGCCAGCAGCCGC